GAUGAACGCUGGCGGCGUGCCUAAUACAUGCAAGUCGAACUUGUCUUUCGAGAUGAGUGGCGAACGGGUGAGUAAUACAUAGGUAACCUGCCUUACAGAGGGGGAUAACCACUGGAAACGGUGGAUAAUACCGCAUGGAUAUAGAGGAAGCAUUUCUUGUGUAUAAAAGGAGCUAAGGCUUCGCUGUGAGAUGGGCCUAUGACGCAUUAGCUAGUUGGUAAGGUAAAAGCUUACCAAGGCGACGAUGCGUAGCUGGACUGAGAGGUUGAACAGCCACACUGGGACUGAGACACGGCCCAGACUCCUACGGGAGGCAGCAGUAGGGAAUUUUCGGCAAUGGGGGGAACCCUGACCGAGCAACGCCGCGUGAGUGAAGAAGGCAUUCGUGUCGUAAAGCGCUGUCAUAGAGGAAGAACGACAAGUGUAGGGAAUGAUACUUGAGUGACGGUACUCUAAGAGGAAGCCACGGCUAACUACGUGCCAGCCGCCGCCGUAACAC
This 499-nucleotide ribosomal RNA is filed under the name uncultured bacterium. RNAcentral's name for it is "bacterial SSU rRNA". It matches the Rfam family "Bacterial small subunit ribosomal RNA", at positions 28 to 526 of the family's 1533-position model. The record is from RNAcentral.